Pseudoliparis swirei is the source of this 1178-nucleotide long non-coding RNA. RefSeq lists it as uncharacterized. The transcript has 4 exons. NCBI's taxonomy places the organism in Eukaryota, Metazoa, Chordata, Actinopteri, Perciformes, Liparidae. The record is from RefSeq and is a predicted model, not a curated record.
CUUUAGCACUUGCAGUGUUAAAACAGCUCUGGGGGCGGAGUUAUUGCGGCGAGUUAAGUGAUGCUCUCCUGACCGAGUUACUUGCACAUCCGGUUUCAACGCGCUCUUUCUUCUUGAAGUCACGGUGAAGAAAACCCGUGGUCAGGAAGAUAUUUAGCUGUUAUUUCAGAAGGUAAGUACACAUUAUAUUUACUUCUACAGGCUGUUCAUCUUCAUAUGAAAUGAUGUGUUAACUUCAAGUGUGGUGAGACGUGUUUUAUAUUUUAGUGAAGCUUGUGACUAAUAGCUAACUUAACGUUUGCUAACGUUAGUUGGUUGAAGGGAGGAGAAAUAAGACAGGAAGUGUAACAUCAGUCAAUAAAUAUGUAUGAACCUGUUCAAACUGGCCGAGCAUAUUUAAUUCCAGGCCAAAAUAAUAAAUAGACUUUUUUUCUUACAGUAAAUUUCUUGAAGAAUAUUUAACUUAAUUAUGCCACAUUAUUUUGCCAUCAGAAAUUCGACGAUCCACCAUGACAGGACAUAAACGAGAGUUUCCGGUACUUCUGCCUCAAGGGCUAGCUUUACUAACGGUAGUUUCGCGGUACUGCUGUGUCGAGGGCUAACGGUAGUUUCGCGGUACUGCUGUGUCGAGGGCUAACGGUAGUUUCGCGGAACUGCUGUGUCGAGGGCUAACGGUAGUUUCGCGGAACUGCGGUCUCGCUGUCAUGCAUUUCACCGGCGUAUGGUUUAAUUGGCUGACUUUUAUCGCAGGCAUAUGCUAAACUGCGACAGGGACUAAAGAGGAAAAAGCGAGUGCCUAAUUGAUACCAAAACGUUUCUGCAAGAUAUCACCAUGCUGCUGAAGGUGAGAUACCAGAGGACCAAGAAGUCCAUCCCAUUACAGCUAGGUUUCACCUAUUUUGAAUUCAUCACUGCAGUCAAAAACAAAUUUGGACUCCAUGAUGCAGCUGAACUUCACAUAUUUGAUGAAACUGACACCGCAGUGGAGGAAGACAUUCUUCUUGAACUGAUAGAGUCCAAUCCAGACCUUUGCCUGAUCGUGCGUGACAGCAUUUCAGAUGAAGAUCAUUCAACACCAUCUUCUCUCACGGAUACCAUGACGCUUUCUUCAAGUGACAAUGACCUCUCCGGUCAAAGACAAAGGGGGAUUUUGAGCUCUGAGGUCAUGGACAGGUCUA